AAGUCGUAACAAGGUUUCCGUAGGUGAACCUGCGGAAGGAUCAUUACUAGAGCAAAGGAUAGACAGCGCCCCACAGAAGCUUGCUUCGUGGCGGGCUACCCUACUUCGGUAGGGUUUAGAGUCGUCGGGCCUCUCGGAGAAGCUCGGUCCUGAACUCCACCCUUGAAUAAAUUACCUUUGUUGCUUUGGCAGGCCGCCUCGUGCCAGCGGCUUCGGCUGUUGAGUGCCCGCCAGAGGACCACAACUCUUGUUUUUAGUGAUGUCUGAGUACUAUAUAAUAGUUAAAACUUUCAACAACGGAUCUCUUGGUUCUGGCAUCGAUGAAGAACGCAGCGAAAUGCGAUAAGUAAUGUGAAUUGCAGAAUUCAGUGAAUCAUCGAAUCUUUGAACGCACAUUGCGCCCUCUGGUAUUCCGGGGGGCAUGCCUGUUCGAGCGUCAUUAUAACCACUCAAGCUCUCGCUUGGUAUUGGAGUUCGCGGUUUCGCGGCCCCUAAAAUCAGUGGCGGUGCCUGUCGGCUCUACGCGUAGUAAUACUCCUCGCGAUUGAGUCCGGUAGGUCUACUUGCCAGCAACCCCCAAUUUUUACAGGUUGACCUCGGAUCAGGUAGGGAUACCCGCUGAACUUA
RNAcentral lists this ribosomal RNA (627 nucleotides) under uncultured fungus. RNAcentral's name for it is "eukaryotic LSU rRNA". The stretch from base 286 to 439 matches the Rfam family "5.8S ribosomal RNA". Lineage: Eukaryota; Fungi. The record is from RNAcentral.